AGCCCUCCGUAUCCGCGCUGAGAUUUCGUCAGAGAUCACCCCGUUGGGGAUGAUGCAACUUCCCAGAUAAGUGAAGCG
Non-coding RNA from Trichobilharzia regenti, 78 nucleotides. Lineage: Eukaryota; Metazoa; Platyhelminthes; Trematoda; Strigeidida; Schistosomatidae. The record is from Rfam.